Molecule: long non-coding RNA, 610 nt
Organism: Wyeomyia smithii (pitcher-plant mosquito)
Lineage: Eukaryota; Metazoa; Arthropoda; Insecta; Diptera; Culicidae
Exons: 2
Source: RefSeq, a predicted model, not a curated record
AUCUAUAGCUUUUUCAUUCUGAAAAACAAAUAUCGAAUUCUAAUGUAAAUAUAAUAAUGCCAAAUGCAAAAAAAAUGAACCGAAAAAGAUCUGAAGUAUUGAUUCAAUAUUGGAAAUACCAGGAUUUGCAACUCUACAGGAUACCGCCAACAGUAUUCAAGAGAUUUGAAGAUUCCAAGAGAUCCAGAGCUAUUCAAGAUUUGCUGCUCUACAGGAUACAGGAAUCAGAGUUUUCAAGGGGUUCGAAGGUUUCGAAAGAUCAACGACAAUUCAAGUACACCAAAAAAUUUAAAGAUCAAGAUUUCUUUUAUUAUAACAGCUAAGUAUAGAACUUAAUUUAUUAUAUUUGUAUCCAUUUGCAUUUUUUGUUGCCCUACCAUAGUGUGCUCUUUUACACACAAUGGAAGUGGAUGAAAAAAAAUUUGGCCGAUCCUGUUUCUAUUACACCUAAACCUCCUGACCCUUUUUCCACUGUUUCCUCAAUUCCCUCACGCGUUAAACUGUAUCCAGACGGAUCGACUGGUUCAUUUGUUGUUUAUUUCCGACCAAAAAUAGGGCCCAAAUCAAAGCCCUUAAACAUCAUUCAGAUAUCUAAAGAUUUAGAGUCUCA